This 558-nucleotide ribosomal RNA is filed under the name Cytospora sorbicola. RNAcentral's name for it is "eukaryotic LSU rRNA". It matches the Rfam family "Eukaryotic large subunit ribosomal RNA", at positions 74 to 657 of the family's 3401-position model. The record is from RNAcentral. Lineage: Eukaryota; Fungi; Ascomycota; Sordariomycetes; Diaporthales; Cytosporaceae.
AUUGCCUAGUACGGCGAGUGAAGCGGCAACAGCUCAAAUUUGAAAGCUGGCUCCGGCCCGCAUUGUAAUUUGCAGAGGAUGCUUUUGGCGAGGUGCCUUCCGAGUUCCCUGGAACGGGACGCCAUAGAGGGUGAGAGCCCCGUAUGGAUGGACACCAAACCUGUGUAAAGCUCCUUCAACGAGUCGAGUAGUUUGGGAAUGCUGCUCUAAAUGGGAGGUAAAUCUCUUCUAAAGCUAAAUACCGGCCAGAGACCGAUAGCGCACAAGUAGAGUGAUCGAAAGAUGAAAAGCACCUUGAAAAGGGGGUUAAACAGUACGUGAAAUUGUUGAAAGGGAAGCAUUUAUGACCAGACUUGCGCCGGGCAGCUCAUCAGGGGUUCUCCCCUGUGCACUCUGCCCGGCUCAGGCCAGCAUCGGUUCUCGUGGGAGGAUAAGAACAGUGGGAACGUGGCCCCCCUCCGGGGGGGUGUUAUAGCCCAUUGUACGAUACUCUCGUGGGGACCGAGGUUCGCGCUCCGCAAGGAUGCUGGCGUAAUGGUCAUCAAUGACCCGUCUUAA